Molecule: long non-coding RNA, 301 nt
Filed under: Triticum aestivum (bread wheat)
Lineage: Eukaryota; Viridiplantae; Streptophyta; Magnoliopsida; Poales; Poaceae
Description: long non-coding RNA (TAES_LNC025780)
Source: RNAcentral
GUAAUUCUACUUGUCACGCUUUGAACAAUCUAUGGUAAAUGAAAAGAAUCCAAAUAAACAACCGUACCAUAAAGAAGAAUCAAACGAACAAAUCCAGAAACAAGAACUGCGGGGAUAACCGAGCUCUCACCGCGGUUAGGAAGAUCUGGUUGUCCAUUGCAUUUCCUUGAUGCGUUUCCGGCCGUUUGGAUUGGGGCGCUGGAGUACGUCGGUCGCCGGAUCGAACACGAGCUCCUGUAGCAAGGAAUAAUUACUCCCACGAUGAAAUAUCUCAUGCCACCGCAUGUGAAUUCGAUGCCCG